CUCUCGAUUGAUGGCUCAGUGAGGCUUCCGGACUGGCCCAGGGAGGUCGGCAACGACCACCCAGGGCCGGAAAGCUAUCCAAACUCGGUCAUUUAGAGGAAGUAAAAGUCGUAACAAGGUCUCCGUUGGUGAACCAGCGGAGGGAUCAUUACAGAGUUAUCUAACUCCCAAACCCAUGUGAACUUACCAUUGUUGCCUCGGCAGAACCUACCCGGUACCUACCCUGUAACGACCUACCCUGUAGCGAGUUGCCCGGGAAGACCUACCCUGUAGUGCGCUGCCGGUGGACUUCUUAACUCUUGUUAUUUUAUAGUAAUCUGAGCGUCUUAUUUUAAUAAGUCAAAACUUUCAACAACGGAUCUCUUGGUUCUGGCAUCGAUGAAGAACGCAGCGAAAUGCGAUACGUAAUGUGAAUUGCAGAAUUCAGUGAAUCAUCGAAUCUUUGAACGCACAUUGCGCCCAUUAGUAUUCUAGUGGGCAUGCCUGUUCGAGCGUCAUUUCAACCCUUAAGCCUAGCUUAGUAUUGGGAGCCUACUGUAUUGUAGCUCCUCAAAUCUAACGGCGGAUCUGUGGUAUCCUCUGAGCGUAGUAAUUUUUAUCUCGCUUUUGUUAGGUGCUGCAGCUCUCAGCCGCUAAACCCCCCAAUUUUUAAUGGUUGACCUCGGAUCAGGUAGGAAUACCCGCUGAACUUAAGCAUAUCAAUAAGCGGAG
This is a ribosomal RNA of 711 nucleotides. The stretch from base 344 to 497 matches the Rfam family "5.8S ribosomal RNA".